GGGCCCGCACAAGCAGUGGAGUAUGUGGUUUAAUUCGAAGCAACGCGAAGAACCUUACCAGGGCUUGACAUCCCUCUGACCGGACUAGAGAUAGUCCUUCCCUUCGGGGCAGAGGAGACAGGUGGUGCAUGGUUGUCGUCAGCUCGUGUCGUGAGAUGUUGGGUUAAGUCCCGCAACGAGCGCAACCCCUGUUGUUAGUUGCCAGCAUUAAGGAUGGGCACUCUAACAAGACUGCCGGUGACAAAUCGGAGGAAGGUGGGGAUGACGUCAAAUCAUCAUGCCCCUUAUGUCCUGGGCUACACACGUACUACAAUGGCGAUUACAGAGUGAGGCAAGACCGCGAGGUGGAGCAAAUCACUAAAAAUCGUCCCAGUUCAGAUUGCAGGCUGCAACUCGCCUGCAUGAAGUCGGAAUUGCUAGUAAUGGCAGGUCAGCAUACUGCCGUGAAUACGUUCCCGGGCCUU
Molecule: ribosomal RNA, 464 nt
Filed under: uncultured bacterium
Lineage: Bacteria
Description: bacterial SSU rRNA
Rfam family: Bacterial small subunit ribosomal RNA
Source: RNAcentral